UGCCGCCUGGGAAGUACGUACGCAAGUAUGAAACUUAAAGGAAUUGGCGGGGGAGCACCACAAGGGGUGAAGCCUGCGGUUCAAUUGGAGUCAACGCCAGAAAUCUUACCUGGGGAGACAGCAGAAUGAAGGUCAAGCUGAAGACUUUACCAGACACGCUGAGAGGUGGUGCAUGGCCGUCGCCAGCUCGUGCCGUGAGAUGUCCUGUUAAGUCAGGUAACGAGCGAGACCCCUGCGUCUAGUUGCUACCAUUACUCUCUGGAGCAGUGGAGCGAAUUAGACGGGCCGCNNNANUUAAUGUGGAGGAAGGAAGGGGCCACGGCAGGUCAGUAUGCCCCGAAACCCUAGGGCUACACGCGGGCUGCAAUGGUAUUGACAAUGUGUUCCGAAUCCGAAAGGAGGAGGCAAUCAUCANACAAUAUCUCAGUUAUGACUGAGGGCUGUAACUCGCCCUCACGAAUAUGGAAUCCCUAGUAACCGCGCGUCACUACCGCGCGGUGAAU
RNAcentral lists this ribosomal RNA (503 nucleotides) under uncultured archaeon. Its description in RNAcentral is "bacterial SSU rRNA". It matches the Rfam family "Archaeal small subunit ribosomal RNA", at positions 822 to 1323 of the family's 1478-position model. The record is from RNAcentral.